GCAUAUCAAUAAGCGGAAGGAAAAGAAACCCAACAGGGAUUGCCUUAGUAACGGCGAGUGAAGCGGCAACAGCUCAAAUUUGAAAUCUGGCUCUUUUAGAGUCCGAGUUGUAAUUUGCAGAGGGCGCUUUGGCGUUGGCAGCGGUCCAAGUUCCUUGGAACAGGACGUCACAGAGGGUGAGAAUCCCGUACGUGGUCGCUAGCCAUCGCCGUGUAAAGCCCCUUCGACGAGUCGAGUUGUUUGGGAAUGCAGCUCUAAAUGGGAGGUAAAUUUCUUCUAAAGCUAAAUACUGGCCAGAGACCGAUAGCGCACAAGUAGAGUGAUCGAAAGAUGAAAAGCACUUUGGAAAGAGAGUCAAAUAGCACGUGAAAUUGUUGAAAGGGAAGCGCUUGCAGCCAGACUUGCCUGUAGUUGCUCAUCCGGGCUUUUGCCCGGUGCACUCUUCUGCGGGCAGGCCAGCAUCAGUUUGGGCGGUUGGAUAAAGGUCUCUGUCAUGUACCUCUCUUCGGGGAGAACUUAUAGGGGAGACGACAUACAACCAGCCUGGACUGAGGUCCGCGCAUUUGCUAGGAUGCUGGCGUAAUGGCUGUAAGCGGCCCGUCUUGAAACACGGACCAAGGAGUCUAACAUCUAUGCGAGUGUUUGGGUGUCAAGCCCGAGCGCGUAAUGAAAGUGAACGGAGGUGGGACCCCUUUUAGGGUGCACCAUCGACCGAUCCUGAUGUCUUCGGAUGGAUUUGAGUAAGAGCAUGGCUGUUGGGACCCGAAAGAUGGUGAACUAUGCUUGAAUAGGGUGAAGCCAGAGGAAACUCUGGUGGAGGCUCGCAGCGGUUCUGACGUGCAAAUCGAUCGUCAAAUUUGGGCAUAGGGGGCGAAAGACUAAUCGAACUAUCUAGUAGCUGGUUCCUGCCGAAG
RNAcentral lists this ribosomal RNA (914 nucleotides) under Neocamarosporium betae. RNAcentral's name for it is "partial large subunit ribosomal RNA". It matches the Rfam family "Eukaryotic large subunit ribosomal RNA", at positions 38 to 966 of the family's 3401-position model. Lineage: Eukaryota; Fungi; Ascomycota; Dothideomycetes; Neocamarosporiaceae. The record is from RNAcentral.